This 301-nucleotide ribosomal RNA is filed under the name uncultured bacterium. Its description in RNAcentral is "partial 16S ribosomal RNA". It matches the Rfam family "Bacterial small subunit ribosomal RNA", at positions 509 to 807 of the family's 1533-position model. The record is from RNAcentral.
CAGCAGCCGCGGGAAUACGUAGGUGGCAAGCGUUGUCCGGAAUUAUUGGGCGUAAAGGGCUCGCAGGCGGUUUCUUAAGUCUGAUGUGAAAGCCCCCGGCUCAACCGGGGAGGGUCAUUGGAAACUGGGAAACUUGAGUGCAGAAGAGGAGAGUGGAAUUCCACGUGUAGCGGCGAAAUGCGUAGAGAUGUGGAGGAACACCAGUGGCGAAGGCGACUCUCUGGUCUGUAACUGACGCUGAGGAGCGAAAGCGUGGGGAGCGAACAGGAUUAGAUACCCCGGUAGUCCCUGUCUCUUAUAC